AUGCGCACAUUCGCCCGCAUUCCGAUGGAAGAAUUAAAUACUCAAAAAUUCUAUUCUCUGCAACUAACAUUCUCUGCUUAGAGAAAUGGCCUACCAUUGAGUUUUCCGGUCCUUGCAUGUAAGUUGGGUCAUAAAGCAGCAUGAAUCUUGUGAAAUUUAAGUAAAGAGAAAUUAAAUGAUUCAUCAACUAGGGAUAGCAAUCUUACUCCUGAUUUGAGCAAGAAUUCAAGGAUCCCUUGCCUGAAACAGACAACAUACCACUAGAGAAAUGUUUGAUUUUUUGGUAACACCUGCCAUUGAUCAAUAACUUCAUCUAUCAUUGUUGACAUCCAUGAUCCAUGAAAUGAACCUUGUUUAUGAAACUUUUCUGAAGGACAAAUAUCUUACUAGCUAAGUCACUUCUCAUUUUGCCUACUCUUUCAAAUAAACCAACGGAAAGGUGUAAAGCAAGAACACUUAAAACUUUCACUUAUCAUGGUUGAGAUGCUCGUUGUGCUGGUCUAUUAGCAUAACACUGCAGAUCACUUGGGGUUCUGUGUUGUAUUUUCGGCCUUCAUAUCUGCUAAGUGGUGAAUUAGCAGGGAUCACUUAGGAGUUAUAUGAUGGAGUUUGGACUUCCAUAGCUGGUAAAGUUGCAGCUCAUAUAAGUAGGUACAGAAAACAACAUGAACCUUGUGAUUGCCAAAGUAAAUAUGGGGUUUUUUAAUCUGAGAUUGUACGCCAAACAGACAACAUAUCACUUCAGCAAUCCUUGAUUUUUGGGAUCACUUAGAAGUUCUAUGUUGGAUUUUGGACUUUCAGAGCUCCGUAAAGUUGCAGUUAGUGAUUCCAUGCAGUAGCACUUGAACAAGGCAAGGAUGGGAAUUUAUGUGAAAUCUUGUUACCAAUGAAGUACAGAAAAAACAAAGUUGGUGGUCCUCUUGGAUGGGAUGAUCUGGACUGUCUUUCUAAUUAUUUCCUGCGUUUCAAUUUGUUUGUCUUAUUUUUUUUUUAACUUUACAUUUUAAUAAGAAUGUAUCUUUCCUUUUCUAGCAACUAUUUGAUUUUAAUCUGAGUAUUAGGUGUGUA
Molecule: long non-coding RNA, 1068 nt
Organism: Solanum tuberosum (potato)
Lineage: Eukaryota; Viridiplantae; Streptophyta; Magnoliopsida; Solanales; Solanaceae
Exons: 6
Source: RefSeq, a predicted model, not a curated record